UCGCCUGUUUUAUCAAAAACAUCUCUCUUUGUUGAAGUAUAUAUAAAGAGUUGGGCCUGCUCGGUGAAAACGUUUUAACAGCUGCGGUAUUUUAACUGUACUAAGGUAGCAUAAUAAUUUGCCUUAUAAUUUGAGGCUAGAAUGAAUGGUUUGACGAAGGUUAAUCUGUCUCCACUUUAUUUUUUAGAAAUUAAUUUUCAUAGUGAAAAAGCUUGAAUUUUUUAAGGGGACGAGAAGACCCUACUGAGCUUAUAAUUUUAUUAACAUAUAUAUUUAUGUAUAUUGUGUUAUAUGAAUUUUAAUUGGGGUGAUUAAGGAAUAAUGUAAUUAUUUAUAACGUAACUUCCUUAGAUAUUAUAUUGUUGAAUUAAGUAACCGAUAAUGGUAAAUAUAAUUUUAUUAUAUAUUGCUUAUAAUAUAGUUACCAUAGGGAUAACAGCGUAAUUUACUUAGAGAGUUCUUAUUGAAAAGUAAGAUUGCGACCUCGAUGUUGGAUUAAAGUAACCUUAAGGUGCAGAAGCUUUAUGAGGUAAAUCUGUUCGAUUUUUAAAACUUUACGUGAUCUGA
This 567-nucleotide ribosomal RNA is filed under the name Uroteuthis sp. SC-2013. Its description in RNAcentral is "partial 16S ribosomal RNA". It matches the Rfam family "Bacterial large subunit ribosomal RNA", at positions 1796 to 2608 of the family's 2925-position model. Lineage: Eukaryota; Metazoa; Mollusca; Cephalopoda; Myopsida; Loliginidae. The record is from RNAcentral.